This 466-nucleotide ribosomal RNA is filed under the name uncultured bacterium. RNAcentral describes it as "partial 16S ribosomal RNA". It matches the Rfam family "Bacterial small subunit ribosomal RNA", at positions 28 to 505 of the family's 1533-position model. The record is from RNAcentral.
GACGAACGCUGGCGGCGUGCUUAACACAUGCAAGUCGAACGGAAAGGCCCUGCUUUUGUGGGGUGCUCGAGUGGCGAACGGGUGAGUAACACGUGAGUUACCUGCCCUUGACUUUGGGAUAACUUCAGGAAACUGGGGCUCAUCCCGGAUAGGAGCUCCUGCUGUAUGGUGGGGGUUGGAAAGUUUCGGCGGUUGGGGAUGGACUCGCGGCUUAUCAGCUUGUUGGUGGGGUGGUGGCUUACCAAGGCGUUGACGGGUAGCCGGCCUGAGGGGGGGACCGGCCACAUUGGGACUAAGGUACGGCCCAGACUCCUACGGGAGGCAGCAGUGGGGAAUAUUGCACAAUGGGGGGAAGCAGGAUGCAGCAGCGCCGCGGGCGGGAUGACGGCCUUCGUAUUAUAAACCGCUUUCGCCUGUGACGAAGCGUGAGUGGCGGUAAGGAGUAAAGAAGCACCGGCUAACUACG